UACGAAGGGGGCUAGCGUUGUUCGGAAUCACUGGGCGUAAAGCGUACGUAGGCGGUUUGUAAAGUCAGAUGUGAAAUCCUGGGGCUUAACCCUAGAAUUGCAUUUGAAACUCACAAGCUAGAGACCGGUAGGGGAUAGUGGAAUUCCUAGUGUAGAGGUGAAAUUCGUAGAUAUUAGGAGGAACACCAGUGGCGCAAGCGACUAUCUGGGCCGGAACUGACGCUAAGGUACGAAAGCGUGGGUAGCAAACAGG
This 253-nucleotide ribosomal RNA is filed under the name uncultured bacterium. RNAcentral's name for it is "partial 16S ribosomal RNA". It matches the Rfam family "Bacterial small subunit ribosomal RNA", at positions 524 to 776 of the family's 1533-position model. The record is from RNAcentral.